UCCCUCUUAGCUCAGUGGUAGAGCGCGUCACUAGUAUAUCCCGAAACUUCGAGUUUGAUGUAUUAUGACGAGGUCAGUCGUUCAAGUCGGCUAGAGGGAA
Termitomyces sp. 'cryptogamus' is the source of this 100-nucleotide non-coding RNA. NCBI's taxonomy places the organism in Eukaryota, Fungi, Basidiomycota, Agaricomycetes, Agaricales, Lyophyllaceae. The record is from the annotation of a GenBank genome assembly.